This 663-nucleotide ribosomal RNA is filed under the name uncultured bacterium. RNAcentral describes it as "bacterial SSU rRNA". It matches the Rfam family "Bacterial small subunit ribosomal RNA", at positions 97 to 769 of the family's 1533-position model. The record is from RNAcentral.
GGCGGACGGGUGAGUAACACAUGGGUACCUGCCCUCGAAGUGAGGAAUACCGGCGAGAAAUCGCCGACAAUACCGCAUAGGCUCUCUUUCGUGAAAGGGGGAGAGCAAAGUCUCUUGUAAGAGAGGCGCUUUGGGAUGGGCCUGUGGCCGAUUAGCUAGCUGGUGGGGUAAGAGCUCACCAGGGCUGUGAUCGGUAGCUGGUCUGAGAGGACGAGCAGCCACACUGGGAUUGAGAACGGCCCAGACUCCUACGGGGGGCAGCAGUGAGGAAUUUUCCGCAAUGGGCGCAAGCCUGACGGAGCAACGCCGCGUGCAGGACGACGGCCUUCGGGUUGUAAACUGCUUUUCUGUGAGACGAGCAAGGACGGUAUCACAGGAAUCAGCCCCGGCUAACUACGUGCCAGCAGCCGCGGUAAUACGUAGGGGGCAAGCGUUGUCCGGAGUUACUGGGCGUAAAGCGCACGCAGGCGGUUGCACGCGUUUCCGGUGCCAGCUCGUUGCUUAACGACGGGAGUGCCGGGAAGACGGUGUGACUCGAGCACCUCAGCAGGGACAUAGAAUUCCGGGUGGAGUGGUGAAAUGCGUAGAUAUCCGGAGGAAUACCAAUGGCGAAGGCAGUGUCCUGGGAGGUCGCUGACGCUGAGGUGCGAAAGCCAGGGGAGC